UGAUCUCAAUGUGGUCACUCAUUAUUGACCACAUAAUUCAUUAAUAAUUGUUUUAUGCCGGGCAUUGGUGGCACACACCUUUAAUCCCAGCACUCGGGAGGAAGAGGCAGGCGGAUCUCUGUGAGUUUGAGGCCAGCCUGGUAUCCAGAGCGAGUGCCAGGACAGGCUCCAAAGCUACACAGAGAAACCAUGUCUCAAAAAAAAAUUAUAACAGGAGGAGUGUUGCUGUACAAGAUAAGAUACAUGACACUGAGUUUGACUCAAAUGAAACAGUUGUCACGGGCGAUCUGCCUCCUCCAUCCAAAUCCAUAUGGUGAAGCCCUAAGCCCUAGGAUCUACGCUGGGAGACAGGCCUUCACCAAGGUGAUCUGUUAAAAUGGCAUCCUCUGAUCCACGCCAGUCUCACAGGUCUCAACAUACAGCCCAGCCCGAGUUAAUCUGGAGUUUGCAGCUCUCCUGCCUUAGCCUUCUGAGAACUGAGAUUAUAGACAAGUGUCCUCACACUGGGCUAGCAAUGCCGAUAUUUCCAGGGGCUCUCGUUGGUGACAAAGAGGUACAGGACCUCAUCAACUUCCUGGUGAUACCCGGCCACUUCCUG
This 598-nucleotide long non-coding RNA is filed under the name Cricetulus griseus (Chinese hamster). RNAcentral's name for it is "lncRNA (ENSCGRG00015040502.1)". Lineage: Eukaryota; Metazoa; Chordata; Mammalia; Rodentia; Cricetidae. The record is from RNAcentral.